CUUAUCAAUUUUCCAUUAGGGUUAUAUCCAAACUGCUCAACUUUAUCCUUAUAAACUUCCCUUUUAACUUUAUUCUCUUCUCAUUUUUUUUCAACCAUGCACUGCAUUCUUUUCCUAAAAUUUUCUUUCGCAGAGUCAAGAAAAGAUUUAAACUACGACAUAAUCAUGCAAUUAAUAUUGCAGUAACACCAAUAUUUAUCAAAAAGACAAGGAGAAGAUUUAUGAUUCUUACUGACAUAUAUUUAAGGAUUAACUGUAUUUUAUUUCUUUGUGUAGAAGAACAAGGAGAAAUUUUUAAGAGCAAUUUGUUAGCAUCAAAUUGCGGUUGAAAGGCGAAACGGGGGAAGCCUUAUAGAGCAAAUAGUCAUGACUGUGAUGGAAGAUUGUCCAAUCUCAACGGUUACAGGUUUCAAUCACAUUAACUAUUAACAACUUCUCUUCUUUUUAAAUUUUCCAUUUUUUAUUAUCAAAUUUAUUUAUAUUAUUAUAAUAUUCAAUCUGUUGCUGAAAAAAUUCGCUCCUCAUUACCAUUUUUCCACAAAAGACAAAAAAUAAAAACUAAAUAAUGCACAUUAGGUCAUCAACUACACGUAAAUUGCAUAUUUUUUUUAAAAAAUUAACCCACUUCCCCGAAUCCCUCUCCUCAUUGACAUGUUUUUUUCUUUGUGGAAAGUGUUUUUUUUUUUUUUUCCUUUUUUACCAUUUUCAAAUAUAGUGAAAAAAAAUCACAGAAAGAAGAAUUUCUAAUGGAAAAAGGAUGUGAAGAAAAGAAAAUGACAGAGAGGAUAAGAAGAAGUUGAUUGGCAAUAGGGUAGGAAAAAUAUCAACCAAACCUUAAAUAAUUCUUUCUUUUCCUUUUAGUUUUGAUACGAUUUAAAUGGCCUCCUUAUCUUUCAAUAACAUCAUUCAAAGUCAGUACGUGAGGCAUUAAGCUUUGGUCACAUUAAAAAAACGGGAUCCUACAUGGAGGGACCGAUUUGAGUACACCAAAGAGCAAUUCCACGUGUGAAAGAUUGCUUAGAGCAUUGAAGAUUGAGGAUUCACGGUUUUGGGCUUUCAUUAAGGACAUUUUGGUUACUUAGCCUUGUCCAAGUAACACUUCAUGACCACCCCUUUUCAUUAAGAGUAUUGUGGUCAUUUUGUUAUGUAAUAAGUUAGACUAUAAAUAAGUUUUAUUAGUUCAUUUGCUAGUUAGUUUAUGAAAGAUGAAAGAUUAAAACACUUGAAAUCCUCUCUCUUGAGAGUAGACCACCUUAGUAUAGUCUUAGUUAGGACUUGGAAAUGUCAUCCUUAGUAUAGGGCUUGAAAAAGUCAAUAUUGUUCUUUGCUUGAAAACGGUGGAUCUUGAGGUGAGUCGAUUACCUUGACGGUCACCGUAUGAGUGUGGUUUUGAUUAUUACAUUCAUUAGGGAUUAAUGUUGAAAUAUACUUGGUUCUUAAUCUUGUAAUAAUCUUGAUCUCACUAUUUAUCCUUUCAUUAUUUUGCAAAGCCGUGUGUUUUAGUGUUUGUCAGUUUGUAUCCCUUUGUGUUGCUUGUUCUUCUCACGUUUUGUGAACUGUUUUGACAUCUUGGUGGACUGAUUUGUAUCACUUUUUUAUUUCUUCAGAUUACAUACAAUCAUUCGUUUUUUUAUUUGCCUUUACUUUUUAAUUUCAGUUAAUCCAUUAUUAUUUUUAAAUAUUGUAUACUCAAUUUGCAUAAAAAAAACAGUUUUUAUUAAUGUCUUUAAGGAGCUAAUUGGAUUUAAAGGAACCUCGACGAAUGUCAUUACAUUUACGUUAAAUUGAAAGAAUGUCUCAUAUAGAUAAUCAGCGAGAAGUAAAAGUUCUGAUUUUUUAUUCAUGAUUAAAUAAUAUGUGUCUGGACAAUUUUUUUUUCCUAUAAGGCUUUUAAAAAAAUACAUUCUUCAUCACUUAUUGUUCUUAUGAAUGUUGCAUGUCUAAUUAACCUUUGUCUAUUUUCCAACACGUGAAAAAAUAAAGAUGAUUUGAAGUCGAUUUAAUGUCCAAAUUAAGCAUCAACAUUAUGAAAUUGAAGGUGAUUGGUUUGUUCUAUUGUUGACUUACUUGAGUAGUUUGAUGUUUUAGCUUCUACCGUCACAUCUUGAGUAUCAAUUAUUUUUUAAUUGACAGAUAUUACAAACGGAACGAGGAAGAUCGGAGAUUACUUUAAUGAUUUUGUAAUGAGUCAUUGAUAAAUAUUUAUUGAAAAUGUUCCUCUUCAAGAUGAGGUUUACGAAAAAUAUUAAUUUCUCAUCAAUCAAUAUUAUGCUAGAAUACAUGUUCAAUUAUAUUAUACU
RNAcentral lists this long non-coding RNA (2300 nucleotides) under Capsicum annuum. Its description in RNAcentral is "long non-coding RNA (CANN_LNC003597)". Lineage: Eukaryota; Viridiplantae; Streptophyta; Magnoliopsida; Solanales; Solanaceae. The record is from RNAcentral.